This 758-nucleotide ribosomal RNA is filed under the name uncultured bacterium. Its description in RNAcentral is "bacterial SSU rRNA". It matches the Rfam family "Bacterial small subunit ribosomal RNA", at positions 28 to 774 of the family's 1533-position model. The record is from RNAcentral.
GAUGAACGCUGGCGGCGUGCCUAACACAUGCAAGUCGAACGGAGUGUAGACGCUGUGCGAAGAAGUGCUUGCACGGAUUCAAACUUGUUUACACUUAGUGGCGGACGGGUGAGUAACGCGUGGAAAACCUGCCUCAUACAGGGGGAUAACAGGAAGAAAUUCCUGCUAAUACCGCAUGAGCGCACACUGUCGCAUGGCAGAGUGUGAAAAGAUUUAUCGGUAUGAGAUGGUUCCGCGUCUGAUUAGCCAGUUGGCGGGGUAACGGCCCACCAAAGCGACGAUCAGUAGCCGGCCUGAGAGGGCGGACGGCCACAUUGGGACUGAGACACGGCCCAGACUCCUACGGGAGGCAGCAGUGGGGGAUAUUGCACAAUGGAGGCAACUCUGAUGCAGCGACGCCGCGUGGGUGAAGAAGUUAUUCGUAAUGUAAAGCCCUAUCAGCAGGGAAGAUAAUGACGGUACCUGACUAAGAAGCCCCGGCUAACUACGUGCCAGCAGCCGCGGUAAUACGUAGGGGGCAAGCGUUAUCCGGAUUUACUGGGUGUAAAGGGAGCGCAGACGGGAUAGCAAGCCAGAUGUGGAAGCCAUAGGCAUAACCUGUGGAGUGCAUUUGGAACUGUUAACCUUGAGUGCCGGAGGGGUAAGCGGAAUUCCCAGUGUAGCGGUGAAAUGCGUAGAUAUUGGGAAGAACACCGGUGGCGAAGGCGGCUUACUGGACGGUAACUGACGUUGAGGCUCGAAAGCGUGGGGAGCAAACA